This 48-nucleotide non-coding RNA is filed under the name Trichobilharzia regenti. The record is from RNAcentral. Lineage: Eukaryota; Metazoa; Platyhelminthes; Trematoda; Strigeidida; Schistosomatidae.
AUCCAGGGGACGAGUCCCAAAUAGGACGAAAUGCGCGUUAUCCUGGAU